This is a long non-coding RNA of Lolium perenne, 2884 nucleotides long. RefSeq lists it as uncharacterized. The record is from RefSeq and is a predicted model, not a curated record. Lineage: Eukaryota; Viridiplantae; Streptophyta; Magnoliopsida; Poales; Poaceae.
AUAUCAGCCUUUCCAAAGAAGAUGGUCUCACCGACGCGGUGCACGAUAAAGACAAUACCUUUUACGUCCUUACUAAGUUCGGAAUUGUCUACAAGGUCGACCUGCCAACAGGCACAUAUCCCGUUAUCCACCAGUUGUGUACGACCAAAAAGAACCUUCCAUUUCCCAAAGGUAUAUGGGCAAUGUUUGAGAAGAAGAAGCCGGUGUGUUGUGAUGGUAACCCGUACCAAGUGUGCAAAAGUACGAGCGACUUUCCUGGGGUAUCACGCAAACCUAGAAAAAAGGGUGAUAUAUUGGUUAUUAGGCACUAUCGUGAUCGCGCAAUCAACUUUGACGUGGUCACCGAGAUACAGGGCCAUUCACUGUUUAUCGGGGAUAAACAUGCCUUAUCAAUGGAUAUUCAUGGUGUUCCAAGACUGAAAAAAGACUCUGUGUACUAGAUCAAGGAUGGGGAGGAUGGGGAAGAGUUAGUGGUCUUUGACAUGGAAAGUGAGAAGUCUACACUUGUUCCUAUGCGUAAUAUUGGUCCUGGAACUCUGGAAGACACAAUUUCCUGGUACUUUCUGGACAACAGGAGUUGAACAUACUGGUUGAAUUGUUUGUUUUGGCAGGCUAGACAGAUACAUACAAAUGUAUCUCCGGUGCCUGAGUUUCUCCGGUGGCUGUCGUCGUGGCUGCAUUGGGAGACCACUUAUCUUAUGAGACUUGAUAUGUCUUAUAUAACCUGAUCAGUCUUAUGUCACUAGACACUUAUCUUAUGUCACUAGACACUUAUCUUAUCAGACAUGAUAUUGUUAUGUAAUAUGAUAUGUUCUUAUUUUGGAUGUGUUGAUAAGCUAGUGUUAGGCACCUUGGUAAAUUAGAUUUAACUAGCCAUUCGAUCAUGCCUUCAAGUCAAUCUUGUCUACGGUCGUAUAAAAUGUCAACCCCACCGUGAAAACCUAGCUGCCUCCCCACACGCCCCAAUCCCCUCGCCUUGCAGCCGCCACCCAAUCCCCACUCCCCUCGUCUCCCCCAAUCCGUCCACGUCCACGUCCUGCCUCCCGCUCCGCACUGCCUCCUCCAAUCCCGUUGCGCCGCCUCACCCUCCAACGUCCUCCUCCACGUGCUCUGCUUCCAGCGGCCGCCUCAUGGGGCGAGAAGAAACGGGACUUCGUGGGGCGAGCGUUGACGUGCUGGAGAAGCCGAGAGAAGCUGCAGAGGCGGAGGCGGGCGUGGUCGUCGGCGUGGCUCCAACCGCAGGUUGAUCAACCAAUAGUGGGAGGGGAACGACGAAUCAACCAUAGAACUGGCGGUUGAUGUUACAGUAAUAAGACGAUUGCUGUUCUCUCUGGCUUGCUGCUGAUUCUUGCAUUUUUGACAAGGGUCUGAGUGAGAAAAGUCACAAGAAGAAGAUCUGUAGGAGCAUGGCAACCAUGACCAAAAGGAUGAUUUUGAUGCACACGUAUUUGAUGAAAUGCAGAUUGCUAUCUAGGUGUCCAGAUUCAGGAAGGAGAAUGAUUCAAGCUUGAUCAGUUACCAGAAGGUCUACGUCUUACCAGAUUUAGAGUCCUCAAAAUGUGAUGUAUUCAUUCGAUGAAAGAUAAAAGGAUGAGGGAUUACUGGUUGACUGGGAUGUAUUUCUUCUGGAUACACAGGUCACCUGCACUCAAGCCAGAGUGUAUUGGUAACAUUUUCAUGGUAUUUCUACUUAAAGAUUGUUCCAAUUGGUUUUAGUUCUUAAGCGCUUGGACUGAGAGAAAUGGCCAACGAGAUGGGCAACAACAACGUUAUUGGUCAGCAAGAGGAUGUCGUGAGCCACUGGUGAUUUCCAAUAUACAGCAAUUCUAAACCCCAGCUGAAUAUCUUAUUCACUUGAUUUAUUAGUUUCCAGGAUGACCGGCCAUAGCUCACAUUUGGUAUCAUAUGGUGUGCACCUUCCCAGAUGAAUCAUAGGAUAUGCUCUUUCUUAUCACUUAUCAACACCAUUUUAUGAUGAGUUUCUCUAGGAUUGUUGCUUCCUAUUUCUGACCUAGAGGGGAAAUAAGCUUCAGUAUUGCGCAACAUAAAAAGCUCAGAGCCUUAGUUGUGGACGCUGCAAAUUGUAGUAAAGUACUACUUGGCAAUCUAUUUUGUACAGAAAGGCAAUGAAGUUAUGAGUUCAUGAGUAUGCAAGAUCCAAAAUUCUUCAGAUUUUAGGGAUUGUAAAUUCUCGACGUACCAAGAACAGUAGCAGGGAGUGACAUAGGUUGCUAAAAAAAAUGUCGUGCCUUGCAAUUCCUGAAUAUUAGAGGUUUACAAGAGAAUCUAUUGGUACAUGCGGCCAUUCUUGCGGAUACAGAUUGAAGAACUUUAUAAUAUAUAGCUUGGAUUGGAGGAACAUUGUAUGUAAGAAGUACAUGCGGCCUUUGAUUCACCAUUUUCCCUAAGCUAAACCAAAUUGAGGGAGAUCUGAGGGGAAGAAAAAAGAUGCACCUGAUUUUGAUGCUGACCUGAUACAACAGCACGCCGGCGAGGUCGAAAGCCCUCAACCAUUGUCGCCAACGACCUAGUCUUGCUGCGGUCAAGGCGCUAUGUGAUGCAGGGAGGGCGGUUGAGCACUCAGCAACAUCAAUUUGUGAAGAGAUGUGAAGAAUCAGGAGAUGUCUGACCAUCGACGGAUGGAAGCUAAUAAGAGGGGAAGUAAGACAUGAGCCAGACAGAGCCAAAAUGGCUACAGAGGCAGUGAGAUAAGUGUGUGUGCUGUGCGUGUGACCCUGUGUCACCUGUGUGUGCGUCGGUGGUCUGAGCAGGGCCCAAUGGUGUAUUUCAUAAAACAGUUGUGAGGUCCUGAUUGUGUCAUGUUUAUUUGUGCACAUGAUAUUCUUUAUUUGUUCAUUCAGUGCACUUCUUUUUUACCGAGACA